Siniperca chuatsi (mandarin fish) is the source of this 2929-nucleotide long non-coding RNA. RefSeq lists it as uncharacterized. The transcript is spliced from 2 exons. The record is from RefSeq and is a predicted model, not a curated record. NCBI's taxonomy places the organism in Eukaryota, Metazoa, Chordata, Actinopteri, Centrarchiformes, Sinipercidae.
GGCAUACCAGGAGGGAAAGGGGGGGUAAAGAGGGAGAGAGAUGGCGAGGAAGGUAGCAGAAAGGAGUCAGGAGGGAGGAGGGGUUAAAUCCUGAAGCUGGGACAGUCAGGCUACAGCAAGUCUGAACACAUAUGGAAAAAUAGCUAAAGAAGAGUGGUAGGAGAACAUGUAAUAAGAGUGGCAAAGUAGGAAGAAGUGGCUUUACCAGGAGGAGGAAACGUGAGAAACAGUAAAGAUGCUGGUGGAGUGUGGAGGUAAACUUCUUCACUGUACUCUCCAAACCCGGCCUUGUUGCAGCCUCUCACCCUGAGCACAUACACACUGUCCAUCUGCAGUCGAUCAACCACAGCACUGGUCCCUCUCACUUCAUCCAGACGCUGCCAUGCCGUUGCAGCAUUAGGGGAUCUGGUGCCGCCCCAUGUCGCUGCAGCUCCUCCUGCCCGUCGCUGGUAUUCAACAGAGAAGUGCCAAGCUGGAGCCGAGUCCUGAGGGAGGCGCCAGCACAAAAACAGCUGGUCAUAAGCAAGUGUCUUCUGAGUGUCAAUGACUGGAGCUAGUGGGGCUGCGGAGGAGACAAAGCAACAGAGGGAUACAGAUUACAUUAAUUUACCUUGAUAAAGUAAAAUUUUACUUUUACAUGGUUCAUAUCGCACAAACAAAGGAGCCUACCACGUAUGAACUCCAAGCCAUGGAUGAGCUUGACCUCUUUGGAUGCAUCUAGGUGAAAAUGUCUAAAGGACGGAUCGGCAGAGAGAGAGAAGCACUGGAGGUUCUCUAUGGCCUUCACCAGCCUGGAGGGGGAGAGACACACAAACAAAAAAGGAGAAGAGAAAUAAAAAGGAAACAAUUUUUUUAAAGAAAUAAAAGUUAAAUGAAGAGAUGUCAGAGAGUCAAAUAUAACUAAUUCAUUCCUCCUAAAGUUUCGGAUUCAGCUAAAAAAGUGUGUGUUACCUGCUGUGAGUGACUCUGGCAGCCUGUACAAAGCAAGGUGCAUCAGUCUCCUUGAGCAGCUCCUGUGUGUAGGCCAUCAGACCCGCGUGCUCCAGCAGGCCUCGCCUCUCGGAGACCUGAGCAGACAGUGCCUCCUCCCUCCUACUGCGGGAUCCCUCCAGGGCCAGAGCCAAAGCCCCCUGACGCUCCGCUACAGCCGCUCCCAGCUCUCGGAUACAGUGGGUCAGCUGCUGCAGAGCCACUGAGCUAUUUGCCUGGAGAGAGACAGAGAGCAGACACCCAAAGAGUGGGGAGAAUUGGAGAAAGAGUGGAGAAACUGUUGCUGCUGAGUGAAAAAACAAUGACAGCUUAGGAAUGACAAACACAUAGACAAUGUCUUAACUAUUGCCAGCACAGAAGAGUGUCAUUGCAGUAGAGCUUCAGGCCUCUAGAGGGCCCACUAAUUCUCCCUAUCAAAAAUGCUGCUUUUUGCAAGAAAACAUGGAUUCAAUUCCAAGACAACAUGCUGAUUUCAACCUGUUAUACAAAAGAAAAGUAAUGACUGGUUGUGUAGAUCACAGCAGAGUGUUGAUAUCUCAAUGACAGAAUUCCUGCUAGCCGCAUGGGAUGAUCAGUUCCAUUGAAUCCAACAAUAUAUUGCAGUACUGUUGCCCGUGUACAAAGAUAAAUUAUGAGGAAACAUGUACUAAAGCAGAGGAAGUACAAAACAGACAAAAGAUAGUUCACCUCCAUCUGUUUGAUGGCAGCUUCCAGUUGAGUGAUCUGACUCUGUAUUGUCUCCUGGUUGGCCAGGAUGAAGUUGACUUCCUUGGUAACCUUGUCCUUUAAGACCAAAACAAAAGUUGACAUUUCAAGGCUGCUAACAUCAGGAUCAGUCGAAACAGACUACACACAAACUCACCUUGAGGGCCUGGUAUGCCUGUGCUAUAGGCAACACUUUGUGUCCAUGGUGGACACGACGAAGCUUACAAAGUGGGCACAGUAACCUCUGGCAGUUACGGCAGUACCACUGCAGUCUCUCCUGCUCGUGCUCUGUGCACGUUAGGACCUAGAGCACAAAAGAGGAUUAAGGCACAACAACAACAGAAAAGAAGCUACGGUAUAUGAUGCACAAAACACAAAAACAGACAAACCUUUGGCCGAAAGUUGUUGGUAGGUAAAAUGUGUUCAUGCUGAGCUCUAGGGGUUCCCCAGGGGUGGUAGAGUUUGAAACACUCGUUGCAGAAGUUGGACUUGCAGUCAGCACAGCCCUUAGUAGCCUCCAGAGACUGAGGAGGCUUACAGAAACCACACAUGAUGGCUACGCUGCCCAGACUUACUGUGUGCCUGUACCUAAAGGGCAGACAGGGGGACAGUAAGAUAAGGGCAGGGCUGAAGCAAUUCUGCAGCAGAAAAGAAAGCAAGAAAGAAGGAGUCCUUUAAACUUAAGAAAGGGAAGAUUGAGCUCAUCCGAGUUUGCCCUACUCUCUUUUCAGUAGUUAGGAGUCCAACUCUUUUACUGCCUGACCUGGAUACAUCACCAGCAGCUGCCUUGUUAGUGCAUCCUGCGCAGUAAAACAUGCACCGUCACACUUUCCUGACCAACACAACCACUGCCUGGGGAGGAAGCAGCUGCACUCAUCGAACUGCUGCAUGUGAAACUGGGAAACUGCCUAUCCCCAUAACUCUCUCUCCCCAUCUCAGAACGCUUUUUUUCAAAAGCAGCUCCUUUCACUUUCAUCUUCACUAUUUGAACUGAUAAGAGAAGAGGAUGAUGAACAUUAAAGAAGGAUGAGAAGUAUUUUCACUCCAAACUCUCUUUGGUACAAAAUGGAACCAUUUUUCCAUUUGUUGUUGUACAGUACACUGCAAUUUUAAAGCUGUCCCUUCAAUCUGCUGUCAGGUUUAGCCUUGGAUCAGGAGUAAAGGAAAGAUUCAUUAUUGAAACUCAUUCCAGCAAAUGAUUUCCUGUCUCAUUUAUAAAACAGUAUUGACUAAG